This 64-nucleotide transfer RNA is filed under the name Microcondylaea bonellii. Its description in RNAcentral is "Unio bonellii tRNA-Ile". The record is from RNAcentral. Lineage: Eukaryota; Metazoa; Mollusca; Bivalvia; Unionida; Unionidae.
AGUGUCACGCCGGCAUGAACGGAUUACUUUGAUGAGGUUAAAUAUGAGAAUAUCUCUGACACUU